GAUGAACGCUGGCGGCGUGCCUAAUACAUGCAAGUCGAGCGAACGGACGAGAAGCUUGCUUUUCUGAUGUUAGCGGCGGACGGGUGAGUAACACGUGGAUAACCUACCUAUAAGACUGGGAUAACUUCGGGAAACCGGAGCUAAUACCGGAUAAUAUUUUGAACCGCAUGGUUCAAAAGUGAAAGACGGUCUUGCUGUCACUUAUAGAUGGAUCCGCGCUGCAUUAGCUAGUUGGUAAGGUAACGGCUUACCAAGGCAACGAUGCAUAGCCGACCUGAGAGGGUGAUCGGCCACACUGGAACUGAGACACGGUCCAGACUCCUACUGGAGGCAGCAGUAGGGAAUCUUCCGCAAUGGGCGAAAGCCUGACGGAGCAACGCCGCGUGAGUGAUGAAGGUCUUCGGAUCGUAAAACUCUGUUAUUAGGGAAGAACAUAUGUGUAAGUAACUGUGCACAUCUUGACGGUACCUAAUCAGAAAGCCACGGCUAACUACGUG
RNAcentral lists this ribosomal RNA (497 nucleotides) under uncultured bacterium. Its description in RNAcentral is "partial 16S ribosomal RNA". It matches the Rfam family "Bacterial small subunit ribosomal RNA", at positions 28 to 507 of the family's 1533-position model. The record is from RNAcentral.